CUACGGGUUGCUGCAGUGGGGAAUAUUGCACAAUGGAGGAAACUCUGAUGCAGCAACGCCGCGUGGAGGAUGACACUUUUCGGAGCGUAAACUCCUUUUAUAUAGGAAGAAGAUGACGGUACUAUAUGAAUAAGCGCCGGCUAACUCCGUGCCAGCAGCCGCGGUAAUACGGAGGGCGCAAGCGUUACUUGGAAUCACUGGGCGUAAAGAGCGUGUAGGCGGAUUAAAAAGUCAGAAGUGAAAUCCUAUAGCUUAACUAUAGAACUGCUUCUGAAACUCUUAAUCUAGAAUAUGGGAGAGGUAGAUGGAAUUGCUGGUGUAGGGGUAAAAUCCGUAGAGAUCAGAAGGAAUACCGAUUGCGAAGGCGAUCUACUAGAACAUUAUUGACGCUGAGACGCGAAAGCGCGGGGAGCAAACAGGAUUAGAUACCCCAGUAGUC
RNAcentral lists this ribosomal RNA (439 nucleotides) under uncultured bacterium. Its description in RNAcentral is "partial 16S ribosomal RNA". It matches the Rfam family "Bacterial small subunit ribosomal RNA", at positions 339 to 795 of the family's 1533-position model. The record is from RNAcentral.